Molecule: long non-coding RNA, 800 nt
Organism: Glycine soja
Lineage: Eukaryota; Viridiplantae; Streptophyta; Magnoliopsida; Fabales; Fabaceae
Exons: 2
Source: RefSeq, a predicted model, not a curated record
UACUUACACCACUGACACUGCACUUCAUCAAUGCAUGCCCACCAAAGCAAAACCACUCACGCUUCACUUCACCAGCGCAUGCCCACCAAAGCAAAAUCAAUUUUUUUUUUUCCAAUGUCUGAAUCUUUUCACCCUUUAUAACUAAAAAAUCCGGAAACCCUAGAUCUCGGCUAUAGCUGGUGAUCUUAAAUUUUUUUUCCUCUGCUUUCCUUUGAACAUUACAUUCCCGGAAAAUGAUUUUCCGGGGAAAGAAGUGACGGAUUUUCAGAGGCUGGUGUGUAGGUGGGUUCCAAAUGUGUUGUGGUGGGCAUUGUGCUAUACAAUGAUUCUUCUCUUUGGUUAUAUUCUGAGCAAAGGGAACAACAUUCACUCGAGACCCGCUUUGUUCAAGUUGUAUCUCAGAUAAUUGCGCAUACUGAAGAGGUUUUCUUCAAGAAAACCAUUCAUAAUUUGAGGCAUGUUGCAUAUAUAUGCGGUAAAGAGUUAAAGGAUAUUCCAUACUUUAUUUGUCCUUAUAAACCACAAGAGUUCAUGGCUAUGAUGGUGAGGAACUAAGGAUAUAUCACAAUUGAGGUUCUUUGAGAAGAGAAUAAAAUAUCUUAAUAAAGGAAUUCUAAUAUUAUUUAUUCAAUUAAUUUCUUUAUAGGCCAUUUUUAUUUAUUCUUGAAUGAAAUAUAGGUAAGACUAAACCUUUCACUUCUGGAGGAUAUUAGGGAUGAUAUUGAUUUCUGUUUCAAGCUUGCUAAGGAGGAAUCUGUUAUCAUUCUUCCAAGUACAAUCAUAAAUUAUGUUGCACUUGA